This 435-nucleotide ribosomal RNA is filed under the name uncultured bacterium. RNAcentral describes it as "bacterial SSU rRNA". It matches the Rfam family "Bacterial small subunit ribosomal RNA", at positions 957 to 1392 of the family's 1533-position model. The record is from RNAcentral.
UAACGCGAAGAACCUUACCUGGUCUUGACAUACACAGAAUCUUGUAGAGGUACGAGAGUGCCUUCGGGAAUUGUGAUACAGGUGCUGCAUGGCUGUCGUCAGCUCGUGUCGUGAGAUGUUGGGUUAAGUCCCGCAACGAGCGCAACCCUUGUCCUUAGUUACCAGCACUUCGGGUGGGAACUCUAAGGAUACUGCCAGUGACAAACUGGAGGAAGGCGGGGACGACGUCAAGUCAUCAUGGCCCUUACGACCAGGGCUACACACGUGCUACAAUGGUAGGUACAGAGGGCAGCUACACAGCGAUGUGAUGCGAAUCUCAAAAAGCCUAUCGUAGUCCAGAUUGGAGUCUGCAACUCGACUCCAUGAAGUAGGAAUCGCUAGUAAUCGCGGAUCAGAAUGCCGCGGUGAAUACGUUCCCGGGUCUUGUACACACCG